This 3755-nucleotide unclassified non-coding RNA is filed under the name Limulus polyphemus (Atlantic horseshoe crab). Its description in RNAcentral is "cAP-Gly domain-containing linker protein 1-like, transcript variant X2". The record is from RNAcentral. Lineage: Eukaryota; Metazoa; Arthropoda; Merostomata; Xiphosura; Limulidae.
UCAUCGCCCUGAUACCGAGAAUUUGUCCGUCUCUUCCCGACGGUUGUAUCCGUCGGUAUCUUGAAGUAUACAAUUCACAUUAACAAGGUGCCGGGACUUAACUCCGCGUAGUUUAAAAUCUGUGCAUGUGAUUGCUUCAUUGUUUAUAUCUCGCGUGAGGAUUGGUCAUAUCGGAUCUUGUGUUGUUGCUUUUUCAGGCCGAUAGCUGCAAUGCGAUAUACUAGAACUGACGGAGGCAGCGACACAGGCGGAUCGCUUACUAGUGUAAGAGCUGUGAUCUAUAGGUGGAGGUGGCUCUGUUCUGGAGGUUUCAUAGUUACUGCACAUUGUAAAUGGCGACUAUGUGGUCUUUAGAUGAUCAGGGGACUCAACAGCAAUUAAACAGAAUGAGCCAAAGGUCAUCAGGAAUUAAAGCACCCACCAAGAUAGCAAAACCUACAACCUUACCUACCAAAACACCAACGACGGGAGGGACGACACCAGCGCCACCUCACACCUCUCCACCCUCUAUUGCGGCAUCCGCUGAUAUACGAUCAGAUAUUUCUGAUAUAUUUGCCCAAAGCACAGAGGAUUUUACUAUUGGAGACAAGAUUUGGGUAAAUGGCAAUAAAUCAGGUUAUAUCCAAUAUCUUGGAGAAACCCAGUUUGCUCCAGGGCAGUGGGCUGGAGUUGUACUGGAUGAACCUCUUGGUAAAAAUGAUGGUUCUGUUGGAAGCAUUCGGUACUUUCAGUGUGAGCCUAACAGAGGAGUUUUUGUACGUCCCUAUAAACUCUCACAUUUCCCUACUAGCCCAAACAGUGUAGCUGCCAAUGAUGCUAUGCAGUUAAGUUUAAGCAGAGCAUCGACGACCCAUUCAGGAGGGAUAUUAACCAGUUCGACUACACAACUGCCAUGUUCGUCACCAGUUAUAAGUAUGAAGGAUGGAACAACACCUCCUGGGAUGAGUAGUAAUACCACUCCUGAUGAUGACCAAGUUAAAGUUGGAGAUCGAGUUGUAGUCAAUGCUACUAGUGGCAUCAAGAUAGGUACUCUUCGUUAUCUUGGAACCACUGAAUUUGCUAUGGGACAGUGGGCAGGGAUUGAAUUAGAUGAACCCCAAGGAAAAAAUGAUGGCUCAGUUGCAGGCAAAAGAUACUUUGAAUGUGUAAUGAAGUAUGGCUUGUUUGCUCCUAUUCACAAAUUAACAAAAGCUGUGGGAGACACUAGCAUUGCUCACUUUACCUCAAGUAUGGGCCCACUGCUUCAACAUCGGACAGGAAGUCAUGAGUCACUCAUUAGCUCCAUCAGUUCUACAUCUAGUGCUGCAUGUGGUGUCAAUAGAGUGAGGCUAGAAGUGACAUCACCUACUAGCCCACAGAGAUCCUCACAUCCUUCAGCUACAAAUAAUGCUCUCCAGGAAGCACUUAAAGAAAAGGAAGAUCACAUUGAACAACUCCUUCGGGAAAGAGACCUGGAACGAGCAGAAGUAGCUCGAGCUGCAGGUCAAGCAGAUAAGGCUGAGCAAAAGCUGGCAGCUUUAAAAAUAGAACAUCAAAGGUACGUAGAUGAAACUCAGAUCAGUAUCAUUCAACUGCAUCAGCUUCUGGAAAAAGCUCAUAUCGAGAAAAAAGAAGCAUUAGCUCAACUAGAUGAUGAGAAGAGAAAAGUUGAAGAUUUACAGUUCAGAAUUGAAGAAGAGUCAAUAGAUAAGAUUGAUUUGGAGACUCAGUCCAAACAAGAAAAAGAAAAGAUCCUGGAAUUAGAGAGACUUUUACAUGAAGAGCGUCAACACUUAAGAACUUCAGAUUCUAGCAAUAAUCUGGACAUCCCUGGAAAUGAACUAUUGAAUUGGCACGAGGAAGAAAUCGAAAACCUUAAGCAGAACAUAUCAAAAGUUGAAGAGAAAAUAAACUUAUUAAAAGUUAAAAGGGCAUCUGAAAGAGUUGCUGCCAGUGAAUUACAUGAAGACAUAGUAAAUAAAGAUGAGAUAAUACUACAGCUGGAAGCUUCUCUUGAAAAUCGUGAGAGAGAAGUCUCUGAUUUGCAGAAAACGAUGACAGAAUUGGGUGAAGAUUUAGAGCAGGGAGAGCUGAGACAGCAGAAGCACCUUCAAAUAACUGAUGAAUCUGGUCGAAAGCUAUAUGACAAUGAAGAAAAAGAGCGGGAAACCUUACAAAAGAAAGUAGAACUAGAAAACCGGGAAGCAGAACUAAUUCGUAUAUCAAGAGAUGAUAACUCAUUACAGCCAAGCCAGAUGAACCAGGAGAUUAGAGAUAGAGAAAAACAAGUAGAGGAGCUACAGAUCCAAUUAAGAGGCCGUUCUCAAGAGUUAGAGAAAUUGAAGGAUAUAGUUAACUCACUUCAGGAUAAAAAAAAACAGGAGUUUUACAAGUUUAGAAAUAAGCGCAAUGAAGAAGUUAAAGACCUGAAAUCAAAAAUGAAAGUACAGCACGAAGAGUUACAAAAGACUCAAGAAAACAUUUCUAACUUGACUCAUACGUUGGCUGGAAAAGAGCAACUAGUGAACCAAAAAGAAACAGAGGCAGAGGAGCUACGGCAACAGUUAGAGGAAAGUGAAUCUCAGCUUGCUCAGUCACAAGCUCAGUUGCAAGAAAUACAGCUAACUGUUGAAAGCUUGCAGGCACAGACCUCCACAUCUAACAAAUCCUUAGAAAUUAAGGUUCAACAUCUACAAAAAGAACUAGACCAAGUAAAACAUGAAAAGGAAAAGGUAUUUCAUAAGUAUCAUGUGUCAGAAAAAGCUCGUAUAAAGCUACAGAAACAACUUGAUGAGAUUAUGAAGGAAAAACAAGAGCAUCAGGCUACAGUUUCUGAUCGAGAUGCUCAAGUGGCCAAACUAAAGGCAGAAGUUGGUAGACUUCAAACAGAGUUCGCUAAGCACAAAGAGGAACUACAACGUAAGCUGGUAAUAACAGAACUAGAAUCCCAAGCUAUGCAGGACCUGCAUAAUCAGUUUAAUUUGCAACAAGAUGCUCUCAGUGAACUACAGAACAAGUUGGUUCAUGUUGAAGCUGAACGGGAUGAACUCUAUAGAGAGGUUCUUAUCCUACGUGGAACACAAGAAGAAAGGAAUCAGCUAGAAAGCAGGUCAACCACUCUUCAACAACACUUAGGUGAUUUAAAACAAAGGGAAUUUAAACUCAUACAUGAGUUUGGUAGUGAAUGCAAAUCUCUUAAGAAGAACCUGGAGUCAACUCAAUCUCUAUUAGAUGGGCAAGAAAACAGUACAAUAAAAAAGGGUCAAGAGACAUGCAGUAUAAACAAAUUAAAGAAGAUAAAGAGGCUCUGCAAAUACAGAUUGAGUUUUUGAACUCUGUAAUUGUGGAUAUGCAGACGAAAAAUGAUGAACUGAGAUCUAGAGUAAAAAGUCGUAGAGACUGGAAAAAUGCUUGAAAGUGAGAUUUGAGCUUAAAUGGAAUGGAAACAGUGAUUCUCCAUGUUUGUUUUAUGACAUCUUUGGUCUUCAUGCUACAACAAGUUUAGCAGAUGUUCACAUUUCUGCCACCAUGCCAAACAAGACCAGGAACAGCCAUACAGUGUCAGUUGUAACUUAUUUGGACACUGCCAAAAGAAUAUGAUGAUAAUAAAACCUUUUGCCUUAUAUGUUAAUAUCUUUUGAUGUCAGUAGAUAUGAAAGUUUAAUAUGUUCUUUUUGAUAAGACAAGAAGCUUACCUAGCUUUAUUUUUAUAUACAACAUUUGUGUGAGAAAAAUCAAGGUAAGUAUGUGUUGCAAAACUUUAAUGUAACUGACAC